GACGAACGCUGGCGGCGUGCCUAAUACAUGCAAGUAGAACGCUGAAGGAGGAGCUUGCUUCUCCGGAUGAGUUGCGAACGGGUGAGUAACGCGUGGGUAACCUGCCUGGUAGCGGGGGAUAACUAUUGGAAACGAUAGCUAAUACCGCAUAAGAGUAGAUGUUGCAUGACAUUUGCUUAAAAGGUGCAAUUGCAUCACUACCAGAUGGACCUGCGUUGUAUUAGCUAGUUGGUGAGGUAACGGCUCACCAAGGCGACGAUACAUAGCCGACCUGAGAGGGUGAUCGGCCACACUGGGACUGAGACACGGCCCAGACUCCUACGGGAGGCAGCAGUAGGGAAUCUUCGGCAAUGGACGGAAGUCUGACCGAGCAACGCCGCGUGAGUGAAGAAGGUUUUCGGAUCGUAAAGCUCUGUUGUAAGAGAAGAACGAGUGUGAGAGUGGAAAGUUCACACUGUGACGGUAUCUUACCAGAAAGGGACGGCUAACUACGUGC
This 496-nucleotide ribosomal RNA is filed under the name uncultured bacterium. RNAcentral describes it as "partial 16S ribosomal RNA". It matches the Rfam family "Bacterial small subunit ribosomal RNA", at positions 28 to 508 of the family's 1533-position model. The record is from RNAcentral.